RNAcentral lists this ribosomal RNA (1254 nucleotides) under metagenome. RNAcentral's name for it is "bacterial LSU rRNA". It matches the Rfam family "Bacterial large subunit ribosomal RNA", at positions 1634 to 2877 of the family's 2925-position model. The record is from RNAcentral.
AUACACGACCGUACCGCAAACCGACACUGGUGCGCGAGAUGAGUAUUCUGAGGCGCUUGAGAGAACUCAGGAGAAGGAACUCGGCAAAUUGACACCGUAACUUCGGAAGAAGGUGUGCCUUUAGUAGGUGAACCAUUUACUUGGGGAGCCCAAUGAGGCUGCAAAAAAUCGGUGGCUGCAACUGUUUAUUAAAAACACAGCACUCUGCUAAGACGAAAGUCGACGUAUAGGGUGUGACGCCUGCCCGGUGCUGGAAGAUUAAAUGAUGGGGUGCAAGCUCUUGAUUGAAGUCCCAGUAAACGGCGGCCGUAACGAUAACGGUCCUAAGGUAGCGAAAUUCCUUGUCGGGUAAGUUCCGACCUGCACGAAUGGCGUAAUGAUGGCCACACUGUCUCCUCCUGAGACUCAGCGAAGUUGAAAUGUUUGUGAUGAUGCAAUCUCCCCGCGGAAAGACGGAAAGACCCCAUGAACCUUUACUGUAGCUUUGUAUUGGACUUUGAACAGAUCUGUGUAGGAUAGGUGGGAGGCUUUGAAGUGUGGUCGCUAGAUCGCAUGGAGCCAACGUUGAAAUACCACCCUGGUGUGUUUGAGGUUCUAACCUAGGUCCAUUAUCUGGAUCGGGGACAGUGCAUGGUAGGCAGUUUGACUGGGGCGGUCUCCUCCCAAAGUGUAACGGAGGAGUUCGAAGGUACGCUAGGUACGGUCGGACAUCGUGCUAAUAGUGCAAUGGCAUAAGCGUGCUUAACUGCGAGACUGACAAGUCGAGCAGAUGCGAAAGCAGGACAUAGUGAUCCGGUGGUUCUGUAUGGAAGGGCCAUCGCUCAACGGAUAAAAGGUACUCUGGGGAUAGCAGGCUGAUACCGCCCAAGAGUUCAUAUCGACGGCGGUGUUUGGCACCUCGAUGUCGGCUCAUCUCAUCCUGGGGCUGUAGCCGGUCCCAAGGGUAUGGCUGUUCGCCAUUUAAAGAGGUACGUGAGCUGGGUUUAAAACGUCGUGAGACAGUUUGGUCCCUAUCUUCCGUGGGCGCUGCAGAUUUGAGGAAGCCUGCUCCUAGUACGAGAGGACCGGAGUGGACGAACCUCUGGUGUAUCGGUUGUCACGCCAGUGGCAUUGCCGAGUAGCUAAGUUCGGAAGAGAUAACCGCUGAAAGCAUCUAAGCGGGAAACUCGUUUCAAGAUUAGAUCUGCCGGGGCCUUGAGCCCCCUAAAGAGUCGUUCAAGACCAGGACGUUGAUAGGUCAGGUGUGGAGGCCAA